RNAcentral lists this ribosomal RNA (232 nucleotides) under uncultured bacterium. RNAcentral describes it as "partial 16S ribosomal RNA". It matches the Rfam family "Bacterial small subunit ribosomal RNA", at positions 106 to 339 of the family's 1533-position model. The record is from RNAcentral.
GUGAGUAACGCGUGGGAACCUGCCCUGGAGCGGGGGAUAGCCCGGAGAAAUCCGGAUUAAUACCGCAUAAUCUCUACGGAGUAAAGAGGGCCUCUAUUUAUAAGCUUUCACUAUUUGAUGAGCCUGCGUAAGAUUAGCUUGUUGGUGAGGUAAAAGCUCACCAAGGCGACGAUCUUUAGCUGGUCUGAGAGGAUGAUCAGCCACACUGGGACUGAGACACGGCCCAGACUCC